AUGGCUUGCACUAUGACCUACAUACAUUGUUGUCUCAUAACCAAUUCUUUCAGCAUGCUGUACAUUUGCUGCUUAUUCUCAGACUCUACUGAGUGUUGUUUACUGGGCAAACUAAGAGACCCCAAGGCCUCCAAUACUGUCCAGGGAGGAAGGAAGAAGGAAUCCUGCAGCAGGGAAAAUACUUCAUAGUAUCACCUGACCCAUUUUACCAUCACGGGAAUACUUACAGGCUAUGAUAUGCAUGUUAUAAAAAAGGAAAUCUUUCACCAACUCAGGAAACAUAAUACAGGAAUGACUCCAUCAUAGAAAAACCAGCUCAACCAGAUUUUCUGCCAACCUAUAAACAAACCUAAACACAGUAGAGAGAAUAAACUCCAAAAUUUUCCUUGGUUUGAAUCCCUG
Molecule: long non-coding RNA, 402 nt
Filed under: Anas platyrhynchos platyrhynchos (common mallard)
Lineage: Eukaryota; Metazoa; Chordata; Aves; Anseriformes; Anatidae
Description: lncRNA (ENSAPLG00000028506.1)
Source: RNAcentral